AGUCGAGGGGCAGCAUGGUCUUAGCUUGCUAAGGCCGAUGGCGACCGGCGCACGGGUGAGUAACACGUAUCCAACCUGCCGUCUACUCUUGGACAGCCUUCUGAAAGGAAGAUUAAUACAAGAUGGCAUCAUGAGUCCGCAUGUUCACAUGAUUAAAGGUAUUCCGGUAGACGAUGGGGAUGCGUUCCAUUAGAUAGUAGGCGGGGUAACGGCCCACCUAGUCUUCGAUGGAUAGGGGUUCUGAGAGGAAGGUCCCCCACAUUGGAACUGAGACACGGUCCAAACUCCUACGGGAGGCAGCAGUGAGGAAUAUUGGUCAAUGGGCGAGAGCCUGAACCAGCCAAGUAGCGUGAAGGAUGACUGCCCUAUGGGUUGUAAACUUCUUUUAUAAAGGAAUAAAGUCGGGUAUGGAUACCCGUUUGCAUGUACUUUAUGAAUAAGGAUCGGCUAACUCCGUGCCAGCAGCCGCGGUAAUACGGAGGAUCCGAGCGUUAUCCGGAUUUAUUGGGUUUAAAGGGAGCGUAGAUGGAUGUUUAAGUCAGUUGUGAAAGUUUGCGGCUCAACCGUAAAAUUGCAGUUGAUACUGGAUAUCUUGAGUGCAGUUGAGGCAGGCGGAAUUCGUGGUGUAGCGGUGAAAUGCUUAGAUAUCACGAAGAACUCCGAUUG
Molecule: ribosomal RNA, 666 nt
Filed under: Bacteroides sp. HGA0254
Lineage: Bacteria; Pseudomonadati; Bacteroidota; Bacteroidia; Bacteroidales; Bacteroidaceae
Description: bacterial SSU rRNA
Rfam family: Bacterial small subunit ribosomal RNA
Source: RNAcentral